Molecule: ribosomal RNA, 407 nt
Filed under: Verrucomicrobiota bacterium
Lineage: Bacteria; Pseudomonadati; Verrucomicrobiota
Description: Verrucomicrobia bacterium partial 16S ribosomal RNA
Rfam family: Bacterial small subunit ribosomal RNA
Source: RNAcentral
UGGGGAAUAUUGGACAAUGGAGGAAACUCUGAUCCAGCAAUUCUGUGUGUGUGAAGAAGGUUUUAGGACUGUAAAACACUUUUAGUAGGGAAGAAAAAAAUGACGGUACCUACAGAAGAAGCAACGGCUAAAUACGUGCCAGCAGCCGCGGUAAUACGUAUGUUGCGAGCGUUAUCCGGAAUUAUUGGGCUUAAAGGGCAUCUAGGCGGUAAGACAAGUUGAAGGUGAAAACCUGUGGCUCAACCAUAGGCUUGCCUACAAAACUGUUGAACUAGAGUACUGGAAAGGUGUGUGGAACUACACGAGUAGAGGUGAAAUUCGUAGAUAUGUGUAGGAAUGCCGAUGAUGAAGAUAACUCACUGGACAGAAACUGACGCUGAAGUGCGAAAGCUAGGGGAGCAAACAGG